RNAcentral lists this ribosomal RNA (1422 nucleotides) under Escherichia coli. RNAcentral describes it as "partial 23S ribosomal RNA". It matches the Rfam family "Bacterial large subunit ribosomal RNA", at positions 1 to 1468 of the family's 2925-position model. The record is from RNAcentral. Lineage: Bacteria; Pseudomonadati; Pseudomonadota; Gammaproteobacteria; Enterobacterales; Enterobacteriaceae.
GGUUAAGCGACUAAGCGUACACGGUGGAUGCCCUGGCAGUCAGAGGCGAUGAAGGACGUGCUAAUCUGCGAUAAGCGUCGGUAAGGUGAUAUGAACCGUUAUAACCGGCGAUUUCCGAAUGGGGAAACCCAGUGUGUUUCGACACACUAUCAUUAACUGAAUCCAUAGGUUAAUGAGGCGAACCGGGGGAACUGAAACAUCUAAGUACCCCGAGGAAAAGAAAUCAACCGAGAUUCCCCCAGUAGCGGCGAGCGAACGGGGAGCAGCCCAGAGCCUGAAUCAGUGUGUGUGUUAGUGGAAGCGUCUGGAAAGGCGCGCGAUACAGGGUGACAGCCCCGUACACAAAAAUGCACAUGCUGUGAGCUCGAUGAGUAGGGCGGGACACGUGGUAUCCUGUCUGAAUAUGGGGGGACCAUCCUCCAAGGCUAAAUACUCCUGACUGACCGAUAGUGAACCAGUACCGUGAGGGAAAGGCGAAAAGAACCCCGGCGAGGGGAGUGAAAAAGAACCUGAAACCGUGUACGUACAAGCAGUGGGAGCCUCUUUAUGGGGUGACUGCGUACCUUUUGUAUAAUGGGUCAGCGACUUAUAUUCUGUAGCAAGGUUAACCGAAUAGGGGAGCCGAAGGGAAACCGAGUCUUAACUGGGCGUUAAGUUGCAGGGUAUAGACCCGAAACCCGGUGAUCUAGCCAUGGGCAGGUUGAAGGUUGGGUAACACUAACUGGAGGACCGAACCGACUAAUGUUGAAAAAUUAGCGGAUGACUUGUGGCUGGGGGUGAAAGGCCAAUCAAACCGGGAGAUAGCUGGUUCUCCCCGAAAGCUAUUUAGGUAGCGCCUCGUGAAUUCAUCUCCGGGGGUAGAGCACUGUUUCGGCAAGGGGGUCAUCCCGACUUACCAACCCGAUGCAAACUGCGAAUACCGGAGAAUGUUAUCACGGGAGACACACGGCGGGUGCUAACGUCCGUCGUGAAGAGGGAAACAACCCAGACCGCCAGCUAAGGUCCCAAAGUCAUGGUUAAGUGGGAAACGAUGUGGGAAGGCCCAGACAGCCAGGAUGUUGGCUUAGAAGCAGCCAUCAUUUAAAGAAAGCGUAAUAGCUCACUGGUCGAGUCGGCCUGCGCGGAAGAUGUAACGGGGCUAAACCAUGCACCGAAGCUGCGGCAGCGACGCUUAUGCGUUGUUGGGUAGGGGAGCGUUCUGUAAGCCUGUGAAGGUGUGCUGUGAGGCAUGCUGGAGGUAUCAGAAGUGCGAAUGCUGACAUAAGUAACGAUAAAGCGGGUGAAAAGCCCGCUCGCCGGAAGACCAAGGGUUCCUGUCCAACGUUAAUCGGGGCAGGGUGAGUCGACCCCUAAGGCGAGGCCGAAAGGCGUAGUCGAUGGGAAACAGGUUAAUAUUCCUGUACUUGGUGUUACUGCGAAGGG